Molecule: ribosomal RNA, 377 nt
Filed under: uncultured delta proteobacterium
Lineage: Bacteria; Deltaproteobacteria
Description: bacterial SSU rRNA
Rfam family: Bacterial small subunit ribosomal RNA
Source: RNAcentral
UAAUACGGAGGGUGCAAGCGUUGUUCGGAUUUAUUGGGCGUAAAGCGAGUGUAGGCGGUUUGACAAGUCGGAUGUGAAAGCCCAGGGCCCAACCCUGGAAUUGCACCCGAUACUGUCAGGCUAGAGUUCCGGAGAGGGUGGCGGAAUUCCCGGUGUAGGGGUGAAAUCCGUAGAUAUCGGGAGGAACACCAGUGGCGAAGGCGGCCACCUGGACGGUGACUGACGCUGAGACUCGAAAGCGUGGGUAGCAAACAGGAUUAGAUACCCUGGUAGUCCACGCCGUAAACGGUGAGUGCCCGUCGUAGUGGGUAUUGACCCCUGCUGUGACCAAGCUAACGCAUGAAGCACUCCGCAUGGGAAGUACGGUCGCAAGACUA